Long non-coding RNA from Oncorhynchus gorbuscha (pink salmon), 1614 nucleotides. RefSeq lists it as uncharacterized. The record is from RefSeq and is a predicted model, not a curated record. Lineage: Eukaryota; Metazoa; Chordata; Actinopteri; Salmoniformes; Salmonidae. The transcript has 3 exons.
UUGACAAAAGUCAGUGGAUUGGGCCAUGCUGACUCUCUCUCACGGAAGAAGUUGACCGAGUUUUGAAAUCAGUGGAACACAACGAUGGGCCAAACAAGCUGUGCAAUCUAAACGGAAACAACACAGGACGUCUUAUUUAAUAAAAGGGGUUGCAGUCUGCUGUGAAGCUUUCAUCCAUGUUUGUGGCAUCAGUAGAACAUGCCUGACUCUCCUCCACCAGUCAUACAAGGAGAAUGGUCUAAUGCCUCCCAUCAAAAAGAGAGCUGGCCCAAGCAAGCAAAGGCAGCAGCGCAGUCAUCAACUACAUGCACCAUUUCUUCACCAACUACAGAGUUGGGGAAACAUAGGUGGACCUGAAUUGUGAUAACUGCAGUGGCUAAAACAAGAACAAGUUUGUGCUCUGGUAUUGUGCCUGGUCGGACCAUGCACAAGCUCCACCACAGUCUGGACCUUCACUUCUUGAUCACAGGCCAUACUAAGUUUGCCCCCGAUAUAGAUAUACCAGAGUGAACACUUUGUUUUGAGAUUGCUGGUAUUGUGAAGGACAUCACCGUGACAGGGGUCAACAUCUCACAUCUGGUUGGACUGGAGGAUGGUACAGUGCUGGUGGACAGUUAUGGCUGUCAACAACGCCUGACUCCGUACUUCAGACUGCUGCCACAAAUCAAGCAGUACCAGCACUUCAGCUUCGAUGCUCUGGUGCCUGGUGUUGUUGUCGCCAAGGAUCGUUUGGACUAUCGAGACCAGGUUUCAGCUAAUGCGCAACACUGACAUCCUUCCUCCCAUAAAUGGUCUGCCUGUACAAGCACCACCUGGACUGAACACAGCUAGAUAAAUGUAUAUUUUUGAGAAAAUCAGGGAGCUUUGAGACAAAGAGGCUAUGGACAUCACAUGCCCUGCACCAAAGUCAAGGGCAGAAAAGAAACAGGCUCUCCGAAUAUUGAUAAUGUGUGUGUGUAACAGUCUAUAAAGUAUGCUAAUGUACUGUUGGGAAGGCAUUUGGGCAGUGGUGUAAAGUACCUCAGUAAAAAUACAUUAAAGUACUACUUAUGUAUUUUUGGUGGUAUCUGUACAUUACUUUACUAUUUAUAAUUUUGGCAAAUUUUACUUUUAUUUCACUACAUUCCGAAAGAAUAUAAUGUACAUUUUUACUCCAUACAUUUUCCCUGACACCCAAAAAUACUCAUUACGUUUUGACACACUUAACAAGAGGAACAUCCCGACCAGGGAUGUUGAUCUGCAUUUGAUCUUGCAGACUUACUAAACACAAAUGCUUCUUUUGUAAAUUAUGUUUGUGUGUCUCUGGCUAUCCGUCAAUGAAAAAAGAAAAGAAAAUUGGGGCGUCUAGUUUAAUAUAAGGAAUUUGAAAUGAUUUAUACGUUAUACAUUUAAGAAAUUCCAUUUUCUUUUGAUACUUAAGUAUUUUUUAAAACAAAUAUUUUUACUCAAGUAGUAUUUUAAAGGGUGACUUUUACUUUUAUUUCAGUCAUUUUUUGUUAAGGUAUCUUUACAUUUACUCAUGUACAGUGACAAGACAAUGUGUGUGAACCCUUUGGAAGGACCUGGAUUUCUGCAUAAAUUAGUCAGAACAUUUGAUCUGAUCUUUAUCUUAGU